UUGCUUUGGCAGCACAUACACUGAAAUUCAAGUGAUAUGGAGAAAAUUAGCAUGGUUCCUGUGCAAGGAUAACAUGAAAACUCAUGAAGCAUCCCACAUUUUU
Hippopotamus amphibius kiboko is the source of this 103-nucleotide small nuclear RNA. The record is from RefSeq and is a predicted model, not a curated record. NCBI's taxonomy places the organism in Eukaryota, Metazoa, Chordata, Mammalia, Artiodactyla, Hippopotamidae.